RNAcentral lists this long non-coding RNA (645 nucleotides) under Physcomitrium patens. RNAcentral's name for it is "long non-coding RNA (PPAT_LNC004196)". The record is from RNAcentral. Lineage: Eukaryota; Viridiplantae; Streptophyta; Bryopsida; Funariales; Funariaceae.
GCGUGUAUUCUAGCAUCUUCGACGCCUCGAAUUGGGCAACACGCGGUGGCCUCGACAAGAUCGACUUCAACAAUGCCCCAUUCCAUGCCCACUACGCCAACUUCACCAUGGACUCCUGCGUGGUCAAUGAGACGGUGACCACCUCGGUCGCCGAUCCUUGUGUAGCUCCCACCUCAAGUAAGCUACCAUCCGCCCCUCUCCUCCCCUCCUCAUCGCUUGCGAUCAACUUUAGCUUGCUGCAGCAACUGCAAACCCCACCUCAAUGAUCUCUCACGCGUUCUCUGUCUCUUCCCAUUGCAGCCGAGUGGUGGAACGCGGAGUGGUUUCAAUCCAUACCCGCCAACCGCGUCGGCCAGAUGCAAUGGGUGAAUCACAACUUCAUGGUUUACGAUUACUGCACCGACAAAGAGCGGUUUCCCGUUGCUCCCUUCGAGUGUGCGGCGCCGAUCGUGUAGACCCAAUUGCAGGUACAUGCUUUUCUAUGAUUUGUACUCCACCACGUCCUUACGCAUCGUACUAAGAAUCGUUUUGGGUCGACGAGAUGGACAUCGGCCUCCCGAUCGAGAUUGCCUAGGCGAUUCCGUUGCGGUGGCGGUGGCGGUGCGGAGACACACUCUAAAUUGAUUUUAGGAUAUAAUUGUUUGA